Molecule: ribosomal RNA, 530 nt
Filed under: uncultured bacterium
Lineage: Bacteria
Description: bacterial SSU rRNA
Rfam family: Bacterial small subunit ribosomal RNA
Source: RNAcentral
AAUCAACGCUGGCGGCGUGCCUAACACAUGCAAGUCGAACGCGAAAGGGGAGCAAUCCCUGAGUAGAGUGGCAAACGGGUGAGUAACACGUGGGUGACCUGCCUUCGAGUGGGGGAUAACGUUCCGAAAGGAACGCUAAUACCGCAUGACAUCCUGCUUUUGGAGAAGCGGAGAUCAAAGCUGGGGAUUCGCAAGAACCUAGCGCUUGAAGAGGGGCCCGCGCCUGAUUAGCUAGUUGGUGGGGUAACGGCUCACCAAGGCUUCGAUCAGUAUCCGGCCUGAGAGGGCGGACGGACACACUGGGACUGAGACACGGCCCAGACUCCUACGGGAGGCAGCAGUGGGGAAUUGUUCGCAAUGGGCGCAAGCCUGACGACGCAACGCCGCGUGGAGGAUGAAGAUUUUCGGAUCGUAAACUCCUGUCGAGUGGGAAGAAUAGCUUCCGGGCGAAUAUCCCGGAAGUNUGACGGUACCACUAAAGGAAGCCCCGGCUAACUCCGUGCCAGCAGCCGCGGUAAUACGGGGGGGGC